UACGUAGGGGGCAAGCGUUGUCCGGAAUUAUUGGGCGUAAAGAGCGCGUAGGCGGUCCGGUCAGUCGGUUGUGAAAGUCGGGGGCUCAACCCUCGGAUGCCGAUCGAUACUGUCGGGCUAGAGUCCGGAAGAGGCGAGUGGAAUUCCUGGUGUAGCGGUGAAAUGCGCAGAUAUCAGGAGGAACACCAAUGGCGAAGGCAGCUCGCUGGGACGGUACUGACGCUGAGGCGCGAAAGCGUGGGGAGCAAACAGG
This 253-nucleotide ribosomal RNA is filed under the name uncultured bacterium. RNAcentral's name for it is "partial 16S ribosomal RNA". It matches the Rfam family "Bacterial small subunit ribosomal RNA", at positions 524 to 776 of the family's 1533-position model. The record is from RNAcentral.